RNAcentral lists this ribosomal RNA (253 nucleotides) under uncultured bacterium. Its description in RNAcentral is "partial 16S ribosomal RNA". It matches the Rfam family "Bacterial small subunit ribosomal RNA", at positions 524 to 776 of the family's 1533-position model. The record is from RNAcentral.
GACGUAGGAUGCAAGCGUUGUCCGGAAUUAUUGGGCGUAAAGAGUUCGUAGGCGGUUACUUAAGUCUGGUGUUAAAUACUGAAGCUCAACUUCAGCAUGGCAUUGGAAACUGGGUGGCUAGAGUGCGGUAGAGGUCUCGGGAAUUCCAGGUGUAGCGGUGAAAUGCGUAGAUAUCUGGAGGAACACCGGUGGCGAAAGCGCGAGACUGGGCCGUAACUGACGCUGAGGAACGAAAGCCAGGGGAGCAAAAGGG